GGUGAACGCUGGCGGCGUGCCUAACACAUGCAAGUCGAACGACCGCACAUUAAGCGCUUUCUUUUACGGGUGGCGGUUGGCGGAUGUGUAAGGCAUAGAUCUCAAUCUACUUUUUCGUGGCGGACUACGUCGGUCCACUUCCGCUAAUACCGCAUAUCACCUACGGGUCAAAGCAGGGGAUCUACAGACCUUUCCCUUUUCAAUGAGCCGAUGCCGCAUUGGCUGGUCGGCGGGGUAAAGGCCUACCAUGGCGACGAACCGUAGCCUGCCUGAGAGGAUGAUCAGCAAAACUGGAAGUGAGACACGGUCCAGACUCCUACGGGAGGCAGCAGUGGGGAAUAUUCGGCAAUGGGCGCAAGCCUGAUCCAGCCAUACCGCGUGAGUGAAGAAGGCCUUCGGGUUGUAAAGCCCUGUUGUUGGGAAAGAACAGCAGUGGGUGUAUACCCCGCUGUGCUGACGGUACCUAAAGAAUAAGCACCGGCUAACUUCGUG
Molecule: ribosomal RNA, 492 nt
Filed under: uncultured bacterium
Lineage: Bacteria
Description: partial 16S ribosomal RNA
Rfam family: Bacterial small subunit ribosomal RNA
Source: RNAcentral